RNAcentral lists this ribosomal RNA (431 nucleotides) under uncultured bacterium. RNAcentral describes it as "bacterial SSU rRNA". It matches the Rfam family "Bacterial small subunit ribosomal RNA", at positions 367 to 790 of the family's 1533-position model. The record is from RNAcentral.
GACAAUGGGCGCAAGCCUGAUCCAGCAAUGCCGCGUGUGUGAAGAAGGCCUUCGGGUUGUAAAGCACUUUUGUCCGGAAAGAAAACCUCUGGGUUAAUACCCCGGGGGGAUGACGGUACCGGAAGAAUAAGCACCGGCUAACUACGUGCCAGCAGCCGCGGUAAUACGUAGGGUGCAAGCGUUAAUCGGAAUUACUGGGCGUAAAGCGUGCGCAGGCGGUCCGCUAAGACAGAUGUGAAAUCCCCGGGCUUAACCUGGGAACUGCAUUUGUGACUGGCGGGCUAGAGUAUGGCAGAGGGGGGUAGAAUUCCACGUGUAGCAGUGAAAUGCGUAGAGAUGUGGAGGAAUACCGAUGGCGAAGGCAGCCCCCUGGGCCAAUACUGACGCUCAUGCACGAAAGCGUGGGGAGCAAACAGGAUUAGAUACCCUGG